This 859-nucleotide long non-coding RNA is filed under the name Numida meleagris (helmeted guineafowl). RNAcentral's name for it is "lncRNA (ENSNMEG00000018472.1)". The record is from RNAcentral. Lineage: Eukaryota; Metazoa; Chordata; Aves; Galliformes; Numididae.
AAAUGGGUUAUCUCAAAGAAGAUAUUUUUAGCUUAGAACCUCUUUUUUUUUUUCCAAGGUAGUCCCAUAAAAUUCAAAGAUAAGAUUUAUGGCAUUAUACAGAAAAUACCUACUGAAAGAAACAACCUCUACGCUAUUGUGGAACUAUGCAAAUACUCCUCACCAGAUAAACUCUAGCAACCAGCCUCAUGAAGAAAUCUGAUAUACAGCCACUCACUGAAGAGCAGGCUGCUGUGGAGGAAAGCUGAGAUGGUGUUUUUCCUGAAUCUGUUGUGUUCUUCUGCAGUGGCAACCAUCUAUUUCAAAAAAUCGGCUCAGCUACCUUUGGCUUUAUACCUGCUUUUCAGAUGCUUGUCCACAAUCCCAUUCCUUCCUCUAUGCUAGGUCCCAUGUCCCUUGGUACUGCUUCAGCAGCAAGCUGCGCUAAUCUUGGUUUAUGAGAGAGUCCAUCCAGCCUCAGAAGAAAUCUGACCAGUGGAAAGCCGAGAAGGAAAGUGCUGAUACUGUAAUGAGCUGUUCCUGUGGAGGUGAAUAGUAUUCCUUGUCCUCAAGGCACAGCAGAUGAAACAAGCUGCUCCUCUCUACAGCUGGGAAUUGCUGAAGGUUAAGCUUAUUAAAUUAGGAGACCUGCUGAGAAGGGAAUGAAGAGCUCUCCCAAAGGCAAAAAAUCAGAAAAAGGUUCUUGGGAGAAGAAAGCCAAGGGGAGGAGAGAAUGGUAAGCUACACCCUGCUCUGACAACAUCAGCGAACCACUGUCAGUGUCCUCUUCUAGGACUACGCUGUUGGCUGCGGGAGUCCCCACUCCAGGUACUGCACUGUACAAAAUAAAUAUUAUGUAUUGAAUAAAUGGUGGAAGUAC